RNAcentral lists this long non-coding RNA (701 nucleotides) under Bos grunniens (domestic yak). RNAcentral's name for it is "lncRNA (ENSBGRG00000015734.1)". The record is from RNAcentral. Lineage: Eukaryota; Metazoa; Chordata; Mammalia; Artiodactyla; Bovidae.
AUGCAAUCUAUUUUAUGGAUGACCACCUCAGUACCAAAGGCAGUGCAGUCUCUGCAAGCCUUCAGCAUAGUCUUCAGGGCUUCCCGAGGUGCUCACAGGAGCUCCGGCACAUUUUACCUUUGUUCUUUUCUAGCUCCUGCCCACCUGCCCUGCCAAUGCUGUCUCCCCAACCCCCAGCCAAGCUCGUGUGGCUUCCAGGUGUCUAGAGACCUGACGCCCACUGCAGUGGCUGAUUCCAGAAAGGCCACGGCUGUGCAACAGGAAUACCGUGCUACAACUGCCUCCCCGCCGCCUCCUUCUCCUCCUUCUGAGAACGUGUGUGUGUGUGGGCGCCGCAUCCGACACAGAGAGAAACACAUUGCAUUCAGGGUGAGCAAGUGCUCACCUAAAAAGACCACAUCUGGGACUUUCCCGGCGGUCCGGUGGUUAGGAAUCCACCUGCCAAUGCAGCGGACCCGGGUUUGCUUGUGCAUCACAGCUACAGAAAUCUACGUGCGCUGGGAGCCCGAGCCCCACAGAGCCACACGCAGUGAGAAGCCCGCACACCGCAACUGGAGAGUAGCCCCUGCUCAUAGCAACAAAGACCCAGCACAGCCAAAAACUAAGUAAAUAAAUAAAUAAGUAUUUUUUAAAAAAUAAAAAGACCGCGUCUCCCAGUCUUUCCCGUGUCAGAGCUGGUUCUAGGGUAUGGUUCUGGCCAU